UUAAGCCUACAAUUUCAAAAAACCGUUUUUUAAAUUUACCCUUUCAGUGCCCCUAACUCCCUUAAUAUGCAUUUUCCACCCUAUAGUUAUAGGAACUUUUUUUAAAAUUUUUAGGAGUACUAUCACCCCCCGAAUUUUUUUACACCAUUUCAAUGACACCCUGUAUAUUGGAACAGGCAAUAACAAAACACUCAGAUAAAAUAGUUAAAAUGAAGUGUUCAGCAUUAUUUUCCUCAGAUUGGUGUAAGAUAAUAAUUUCGAUAGUAGUGAUACAAUGCUUAGUUUAUUGCAUUGCUGACGAGCUCCCGGAUCCUAGAAGACUCAAUACCAAUGAAGUAGAGCGAAUAAUGUCGGAUAAUACACCUGUUGCUCUUGUCUUUUUAGAGGCCUGGGUGUCUAGUAACCUCGGUAGUUCUUGGUGGCAUUUUUUGUACACAGGAACUGGAACUGAGAUACCAACGUUAGGAAAUAUGGGCCGACAUAAAAAUAUAAUAAUUCAAGCACUUCCAGAAAAUGCCAAAUUUACGAGCAUAGUACUGCUUGAAAGAACUAGAACGUCUCGCUAUCAGGUGACUGUCCAAAAAGUUACCAGACGUAAGUGGUUAACUUGGUCCUAUCGACGGAAAGAGAAAGACAAAGCUGUAUCCUCGAAGUAUCUAAAAACUCUUGAAAUCGCCAUCCAUAAUAAUAACAUAACAAAUAAAUAAAUAAAAACAUGUUUGUAUUUAAUAUUUAUUAAUAAAAAAGUACAUAAUAUAA
This is a long non-coding RNA of Anthonomus grandis grandis, 759 nucleotides long. RefSeq lists it as uncharacterized. The record is from RefSeq and is a predicted model, not a curated record. The transcript has 2 exons. NCBI's taxonomy places the organism in Eukaryota, Metazoa, Arthropoda, Insecta, Coleoptera, Curculionidae.